GAUGAACGCUAGCGACAGGCUUAACACAUGCAAGUCGAGGGGCAGCGGGAGGAAAGCUUGCUUUCCUUGCCGGCGACCGGCGCACGGGUGAGUAACACGUAUGCAACCUGCCCAUGACAGGGGGAUAAGCGGGAGAAAUCCCGUCUAAUACCGCAUAACACCCCCGGGAGACAUCUCCCGGGAGUCAAAGGAGCGAUCCGGUCAUGGAUGGGCAUGCGGCGCAUUAGCCAGUUGGCGGGGUAACGGCCCACCAAGGCGACGAUGCGUAGGGGUUCUGAGAGGAAGGUCCCCCACACUGGUACUGAGACACGGACCAG
This 317-nucleotide ribosomal RNA is filed under the name uncultured bacterium. RNAcentral describes it as "bacterial SSU rRNA". It matches the Rfam family "Bacterial small subunit ribosomal RNA", at positions 28 to 334 of the family's 1533-position model. The record is from RNAcentral.